UAAUUUCUGUUUCAUAGUCUUGUUCAUUGGUCUGUAAGAUUUGAUUGUUGUCCUUCAUCUCUAGAGAAAAGUCCAGAGAUUUGCUAAGCCGUAUUUACAACAGGGCAGAAUAUGGUUCAGCAUAAUCCUUUAUAAUGUAUGAGGAUUCACGUUUAAUAUUUGCCUCUAAUGUUUUUAAGGUGCUGUAACUUUUGAGCUACUGGUUAUUUGGCUGUGCUGCUGACUUGGUGAAACCCAGAUGUGACUCCGCAGUACCACAGAAAUCAACAAACACAAACACGUACCAGACUGCCAGAUCAAGUGACUAGAUCACUGAUCGCAUUUUAUAUUCAAGAUUUGUAAGUGUCCGUGUGAUUAUAUUUACUUUCUUUCUUUCUUUCUUUUUGAAGAUGAAGACUAAAUGUUUCAAAAGAUUUUAAAAAUAAAAUAGUCAUGAUGUGCUGUGCAAAACAUCCCUUACAUCAAAAUAUAGCAUUCCAUUGAGCCUAGCUGUUUAAUGCAUGUGAUCUUAAGUUUCAACUGGUAUGUAAUAGUUCAUAGUUAUAUUAAAUAAAGUACUAUUUUAAACAUAUAUUUAAAUGAUAAUUGUCUCAAUUGUACUGAAAGGCACAUAUAACCAGACCGCGCUCUCAUUUCCAGCGUGCAGUGUUGUUAAUAAAAAUUAUGUGUAAUUUUUCAUAUUUUCAGGACCUUUGCUUUCAUUUUUUCUCUUUUUUUUAUGUGCGAUCCGCUGUAUCUUUCUUUAAGCUCUCUAAAUGAGUGUCUACAAAUAUGUUGUAGAAAGGUAAACCUGAUAAUCACUAAUAAAAUAUGUUAAUGAGAAA
Molecule: long non-coding RNA, 824 nt
Organism: Sinocyclocheilus grahami
Lineage: Eukaryota; Metazoa; Chordata; Actinopteri; Cypriniformes; Cyprinidae
Exons: 2
Source: RefSeq, a predicted model, not a curated record